This is a non-coding RNA of Vicia faba (fava bean), 246 nucleotides long. Lineage: Eukaryota; Viridiplantae; Streptophyta; Magnoliopsida; Fabales; Fabaceae. The record is from the annotation of a GenBank genome assembly.
AUGUCACGACGAGGUACUGCAGAAAAAAAAAUCGUAAAAUCCGAUCCAAUUUAUCGUAAUCGAGUAGUUAACAUGUUGGUGAACCAUAUUAUGAAACACGGAAAAAAAUCAUUGGCGUAUCUAAUUAUCUAUCGAGCUCUGAAAAGGAUUCAACAAAAGACAAAAACAAAUCCACUAUACGUUUUACGUCAAGCAAUACGUGGGAGAAUGGCGGAGGCAAAUAGAAUUCUUGCACAUUUUCGUUAA